AGCUAUCAAUCAACUUUAGACCGAAUACAACAAUUUUCCAAAUACGGCGAUGCUUUAUUUUCCUAUAUUAAAUUAAUUUUCUUAGCACCAACCGAAAUUAAAUUAAAUUCCAAUAAUUGCAAUGUUACAAAGUUGCGUACAACAUCGAUUAAUGUUUUCCGUAAGAUUCAUCUGUAACAAUAACAGCAUCAGCAUCCCACCAAGUAUUAUCCGCGUCAGAUUCCGUUACAUUUCCUAACGGAAAACUGACUUUUCUCAUAUCACCAACCGUCAAACGCUGACGUCCGUUAUCUCUGACAUAAACUUUCUGAACGCCGCCAGAUUCCACGCGCAGCGUGUUCCCCACCGUGGGUCCCCACUCGGCUACGACCGACGGCUUCCGUCGUCGGAGACGAGUGUCCCAUAUCUCGACUGCAAGAUUACCAUGUGCGCCUUCUCCUGCGGAAACAAUCACAUCUGGUGAUGCAGCCGCAGAAGUUAAAGGCGCAUGUGGGUUGGUAGAAGAAAUAACACCAUCCUCGUAUUCAUCGAAAUCUAAACCUAAACCAAAUCCUAUACUGUCCCAAAGCUUAACAACGUUAUCACCAUUGGCUAAUUCUAAAAGAGAAAAAAAAUCACCAAUACUAUGUUGUCGUCUAUGCCCACUGUUUUGAGUUUGGAAUACGUUGUUCACAUCGUAAUCGUUACUGUUUCCUGUAAGGCGAAAGAAAUCUUUGAAGCUUGAUGAAGAUGACAUAGAUGGUUCAUCGUCUUCAAAUUCCGAUGACGAAGAUAAGCUAACAAUGUCAUCGUUUUCGUUAUCUUCAUCAUCGGAGCUGAAAUCAUCGUCGUUGUCGAAGGUGAUUGAUGGAAGGGAAGAAGCUUUUUUACGAAGGUGGAUGAUGAAAAUGGUGACUUUGUUGAUGAGGCUGGUGAAAGUUGCGACUAAGGCAAGAAUAACAGCACCCCAUUUGCAGAAAUUGAAAGCAAUGGAAACGGAUUGGAUUCCAUUGAAGGAAGUGGCUGUGAUUUGUGAAGGGAAAGAUGGGUUUUGUUGUAAUGAAUUGAAACCUGCUUGGAAAUCGUUGAGUCUAUCAAUUAAUGGAACUUGCAUGUUUGAGGUUUUGGAAAUAGAGAGAAAAAAAGGGUUGAAGCUUGAGAGAGAGAUAUGAGAUUGGAAAAGUGGAAGGAGAGAAAAAUUGGUGAGGGAGUGAUAGUGAUUUAUGGGAAAAGGGAAACUAUUAAAAUAAUAGAAAUGAAGGUUAAGUGGGGGAAGAGGAUUAAUAUUAGUUAGUCCCACGUAAGAUGGCUUUUUGGAAUGAAGGACCAAUAGAGAGAAGAUUGGAAUGGGUGAGUCAUGAAAUGAUAAAAAAACGUGAAAGAGUGGGGCAUGGUCGGAGGAAAGAGUCAGUUCUAGAAUUGUAAAAUAUGAACUAAGUUGUUUACGUUUCGGUGGCAAGGAACUCCUUCUAAGGACGUAUUUGGAGAAUAUCAGAUUUGAUUUUUAGGGGAAGAACAGUUGACCAAUAUACAUGCCUCUACGCACGAAUCGGAUUAGUCUUCUACCUUUGAU
This 1552-nucleotide long non-coding RNA is filed under the name Medicago truncatula (barrel medic). Its description in RNAcentral is "lncRNA gene31188". The record is from RNAcentral. Lineage: Eukaryota; Viridiplantae; Streptophyta; Magnoliopsida; Fabales; Fabaceae.